Bradysia coprophila is the source of this 65-nucleotide long non-coding RNA. Lineage: Eukaryota; Metazoa; Arthropoda; Insecta; Diptera; Sciaridae. The record is from RefSeq and is a predicted model, not a curated record.
CUUUAUUUGACACUGAACUAUUGAAAUGAAAAUCCACAAAACUCACAUCAAAUUUAACGUAGCAA